Molecule: ribosomal RNA, 462 nt
Filed under: Meyerozyma caribbica
Lineage: Eukaryota; Fungi; Ascomycota; Pichiomycetes; Serinales; Debaryomycetaceae
Description: LSU rRNA
Rfam family: Eukaryotic large subunit ribosomal RNA
Source: RNAcentral
GGGUUGGCUCUUGUCUAUGUUUCUUGGAACAGGACGUCACAGAGGGUGAGAAUCCCGUGCGAUGAGAUGCCCAAUCCUAUGUAAGGUGCUUUCGAAGAGUCGAGUUGUUUGGGAAUGCAGCUCUAAGUGGGUGGUAAAUUCCAUCUAAAGCUAAAUAUUGGCGAGAGACCGAUAGCGAACAAGUACAGUGAUGGAAAGAUGAAAAGAACUUUGAAAAGAGAGUGAAAAAGUACGUGAAAUUGUUGAAAGGGAAGGGUUUGAGAUCAGACUCGAUAUUUUGUGAGCCUUGCCUUCGUGGCGGGGUGACCCGCAGCUUAUCGGGCCAGCAUCGGUUUGGGCGGUAGGAUAAUGGCGUAGGAAUGUGACUUUGCUUCGGUGAAGUGUUAUAGCCUGCGUUGAUGCUGCCUGCCUAGACCGAGGACUGCGAUUUUAUCAAGGAUGCUGGCAUAAUGAUCCCAAACC